Molecule: small RNA, 322 nt
Filed under: Pongo abelii (Sumatran orangutan)
Lineage: Eukaryota; Metazoa; Chordata; Mammalia; Primates; Hominidae
Description: processed transcript
Source: RNAcentral
AAAGCAGGAAGAUCGCUUGAGCCCAGGAGGUCGAGGCUGCAGUGAGCCGUGACUUCAGCCUGCACUUCAGCCUGGAGUUGAUGCAGACAGAGUUACAUCAUGUCCGCACUCUCAAAAUCAUGAGUGAUGUGUACAGCCGGGGGAUGAUGAUAGAUCUGCUUUUUGAGCAGCAGAUGGUAGAAAAGCUGUUCCCCUGUUUGGAUGAGCUGAUCAGUAUCCAUAGCCAAUUCUUUCAGAGGAUUCUGGAGCGGAAGAAGGAGUCUCUGGUGGAUAAAAGUGAAAAGAACUUUCUCAUCAAGAGGAUAGGGGAUGUACUUGUAAA